RNAcentral lists this transfer RNA (86 nucleotides) under Calditrichota bacterium. RNAcentral describes it as "Calditrichaeota bacterium tRNA-Leu". It matches the Rfam family "tRNA". Rfam says of the family: Transfer RNA (tRNA) molecules are approximately 80 nucleotides in length. Their secondary structure includes four short double-helical elements and three loops (D, anti-codon, and T loops). Lineage: Bacteria; Pseudomonadati; Calditrichota. The record is from RNAcentral.
GCCGGAGUGGCGGAAUUGGCAGACGCGACGGACUCAAAAUCCGUUGAGGGUGACACCUCGUGUGGGUUCGAGUCCCACCUCCGGUA